This 1382-nucleotide long non-coding RNA is filed under the name Piliocolobus tephrosceles (Ugandan red Colobus). RNAcentral describes it as "lncRNA (ENSPTEG00000005610.1)". Lineage: Eukaryota; Metazoa; Chordata; Mammalia; Primates; Cercopithecidae. The record is from RNAcentral.
ACAAAAACUUUUAGUAAUAGUAGUAAUAACAACAUAAAAGAAUCCACCGACAUUAUGUAUUUAUGUAAAACUGUGUCUUGUAAUAAUAAAACGAAUAAUUUGAAUUUUUGCCAUGACUCCGUUUCUACCUAUGCUCCAAAUUUAGACAGUAGUUUAUACCAAUAUUUAAAUAAUAAAAAGGAUGAUGGAGAAAGGAAUAAGGAGGAAGGGGCAUAUAAUAUACUAACUAUAUUAAACGAGAAUAACACUGAUUUUGUUGAUUCUAAAAAAACAGAUAACUUAAAAAGUGAUAGUAAAAAUGGAAGUGAUCACUCUGACAUAAACGAGAGUAGCACAAGUUAUAAAAGUAGCGAACUGAUUAAUGAAAAUAGCCAAGAUUUAAGUAGAAAAAGAAGGAAAGACAACAGUGUUGAAAAAAGUAGCGAAAGUAGUAGUGAUCGUGUACCUAACUGUGAUGACAAUGUUUUUUUAUGCGAAGACGACAAUCGAAAUAGCACCAACGACAACAACAUCGAAAACGACAAAAAUGACACAACUGCUUGUACUCAUGAUGAUACACAAAACAUAAAUAAAAACGAAAUAGUAACACAAAAGAAUAACUUAAAAAGAAAUCUAAAAAAUGAUUAUAAUAAUAAUAUGAAUAAAAAACUAAAAAUGAAUGAAUACUCUUUACUUAAUUUAAAUAUAUACAAAAACAUUCAAUCAGAUAUAUACAGGAAUAAUGCUUAUAAUACAUACGUAUUAAACAACCUUCGUAAUUCUUAUUUGAAAAUUAAGCUAAAUGAAGCAAACCUUAAAAUGAGUAAUAAUAUAACAAGCGAAGAAAACAAAAAAGACUCGCCUUAUAAUUGUAGCAAUAAUAAUAACAAUAUGAAUGGCAACAAUAAUAAUAUUAGUAACAACUGUACUUAUGCAUCUUUUAAAAACAAUGAUAAUGGAUAUACUUUACAAAAAAAAAUUAACAGGAUUUCUCCUGAAAGUAACCAUACUAAUUUAUCAUCCAUUUUUAAUACUGUGAUAAAUAAUAAAAUAAAUAGCGAGGAAAGAGAAAUUGCAUUUGAUGUUAAUGAAAAAAUAAAACAAAAUGAUAUUAUGAUUAAUUCUAACAAUUUUAAUACACAAAAUUCAAAUAAUAAUAUGCAUAAGAAAUAUGUUAAUAAAAACAAAAAAAACGUUGUAGGGUACAUGCACGAGUCAUUGAAACGGGAUACAUAUAGUGGUUGCUUAAACGUUAGUAAUAACACUAGUUAUAGCAAUGACAACUACAGUAACAACGGAUGUAGUAACAACAAUCAAUACAGUAACAACAACCAAAGCAGCAACAACCACAGUAACAACCUUCCGACAGAGAUGCCAUACAAUAAAGAUUUCCAUUUAAACUU